This 484-nucleotide ribosomal RNA is filed under the name uncultured bacterium. RNAcentral describes it as "partial 16S ribosomal RNA". It matches the Rfam family "Bacterial small subunit ribosomal RNA", at positions 29 to 507 of the family's 1533-position model. The record is from RNAcentral.
AUUGAACGCUGGCGGCAUGCUUUACACAUGCAAGUCGAACGGAAGCGCGGGCUUCGGCCUGGCGGCGAGUGGCGAACGGGCGAGUAAUGAAUCGGAACGUGACCAGUAGUGGGGGAUAGCCCGGCGACAGCAGGAUUAAUACCGCAUACGACAUGAGGGUGAAAGCGGGGGACCGAAAGGCCUCGCGCGAUUGGAGCGGACGAUGUCGGAUUAGCUAGUUGGUGGGGUAAAGGCUUACCAAGGCGACGAUCCGUAGCUGGUCUGAGAGGACGACCAGGCACACUGGGACCGAGACACGGCCCAGACUCCUACGGGAGGCAGCAGUGGGGAAUUUUGGACAAUGGGGGCAACCCUGAUCCAGCCAUGCCGCGGGCGGUAAGAAGGCCUUCGGGUUGGAAACCGCUUUUUUUCGGGAAGAAAUCCUCUUGGCUAAUACCCCGGGGGGAUGACGGUACCGGAAGAAUAAGCACCGGCUAACUACGUG